UCUCCGUAGGUGAACCUGCGGAGGGAUCAUUACAGAGUUCAUGCCCUACCGGGUAGAUCUCCCACCCUAUGUUAUUAUUACUUUGUUGCUUUGGCGGGCCGUUAGGCUCCGGCCCGACUACCGGCCCCGGCUGGUAAGCGCCCGCCAGAGGACCCAAAACCCUGAAUAUUAGUGUCGUCUGAGUACUAUAUAAUAGUUAAAACUUUCGACAACGGAUCUCUUGGUUCUGGCACGAUGAAGAACGCAGC
RNAcentral lists this unclassified non-coding RNA (248 nucleotides) under plant metagenome. Its description in RNAcentral is "partial contains small subunit ribosomal RNA, internal transcribed spacer 1, and 5.8S ribosomal RNA". The record is from RNAcentral.